Callithrix jacchus (white-tufted-ear marmoset) is the source of this 111-nucleotide small nuclear RNA. Its record names the gene U2. It matches the Rfam family "U2 spliceosomal RNA". From Rfam's summary of the family: U2 is a small nuclear RNA (snRNA) component of the spliceosome (involved in pre-mRNA splicing). Complementary binding between U2 snRNA (in an area lying towards the 5' end but 3' to hairpin I) and the branchpoint sequence (BPS) of the intron results the bulging out of an unpaired adenosine, on the BPS, which initiates a nucleophilic attack at the intronic 5' splice site, thus starting the first of two transesterification reactions that mediate splicing. Lineage: Eukaryota; Metazoa; Chordata; Mammalia; Primates; Cebidae. The record is from Ensembl.
AUCGCUUCUUGGCCUUUUGUCUACGAUCUAGUGUAGUAUCUGUUCUUAUCAGUUUAAUAUCCAAUAAAUCUGCUAUCCGGCCAGGCGUGGUGGCUCACAUCUGUAAUCCCA